RNAcentral lists this ribosomal RNA (1630 nucleotides) under Escherichia coli. Its description in RNAcentral is "partial 23S ribosomal RNA". It matches the Rfam family "Bacterial large subunit ribosomal RNA", at positions 1328 to 2925 of the family's 2925-position model. Lineage: Bacteria; Pseudomonadati; Pseudomonadota; Gammaproteobacteria; Enterobacterales; Enterobacteriaceae. The record is from RNAcentral.
GCCCGCUCGCCGGAAGACCAAGGGUUCCUGUCCAACGUUAAUCGGGGCAGGGUGAGUCGACCCCUAAGGCGAGGCCGAAAGGCGUAGUCGAUGGGAAACAGGUUAAUAUUCCUGUACUUGGUGUUACUGCGAAGGGGGGGACGGAGAAGGCUAUGUUGGCCGGGCGACGGUUGUCCCGGUUUAAGCGUGUAGGCUGGUUUUCCAGGCAAAUCCGGAAAAUCAAGGCUGAGGCGUGAUGACGAGGCACUACGGUGCUGAAGCAACAAAUGCCCUGCUUCCAGGAAAAGCCUCUAAGCAUCAGGUAACAUCAAAUCGUACCCCAAACCGACACAGGUGGUCAGGUAGAGAAUACCAAGGCGCUUGAGAGAACUCGGGUGAAGGAACUAGGCAAAAUGGUGCCGUAACUUCGGGAGAAGGCACGCUGAUAUGUAGGUGAAGCGACUUGCUCGUGGAGCUGAAAUCAGUCGAAGAUACCAGCUGGCUGCAACUGUUUAUUAAAAACACAGCACUGUGCAAACACGAAAGUGGACGUAUACGGUGUGACGCCUGCCCGGUGCCGGAAGGUUAAUUGAUGGGGUUAGCGCAAGCGAAGCUCUUGAUCGAAGCCCCGGUAAACGGCGGCCGUAACUAUAACGGUCCUAAGGUAGCGAAAUUCCUUGUCGGGUAAGUUCCGACCUGCACGAAUGGCGUAAUGAUGGCCAGGCUGUCUCCACCCGAGACUCAGUGAAAUUGAACUCGCUGUGAAGAUGCAGUGUACCCGCGGCAAGACGGAAAGACCCCGUGAACCUUUACUAUAGCUUGACACUGAACAUUGAGCCUUGAUGUGUAGGAUAGGUGGGAGGCUUUGAAGUGUGGACGCCAGUCUGCAUGGAGCCGACCUUGAAAUACCACCCUUUAAUGUUUGAUGUUCUAACGUUGACCCGUAAUCCGGGUUGCGGACAGUGUCUGGUGGGUAGUUUGACUGGGGCGGUCUCCUCCUAAAGAGUAACGGAGGAGCACGAAGGUUGGCUAAUCCUGGUCGGACAUCAGGAGGUUAGUGCAAUGGCAUAAGCCAGCUUGACUGCGAGCGUGACGGCGCGAGCAGGUGCGAAAGCAGGUCAUAGUGAUCCGGUGGUUCUGAAUGGAAGGGCCAUCGCUCAACGGAUAAAAGGUACUCCGGGGAUAACAGGCUGAUACCGCCCAAGAGUUCAUAUCGACGGCGGUGUUUGGCACCUCGAUGUCGGCUCAUCACAUCCUGGGGCUGAAGUAGGUCCCAAGGGUAUGGCUGUUCGCCAUUUAAAGUGGUACGCGAGCUGGGUUUAGAACGUCGUGAGACAGUUCGGUCCCUAUCUGCCGUGGGCGCUGGAGAACUGAGGGGGGCUGCUCCUAGUACGAGAGGACCGGAGUGGACGCAUCACUGGUGUUCGGGUUGUCAUGCCAAUGGCACUGCCCGGUAGCUAAAUGCGGAAGAGAUAAGUGCUGAAAGCAUCUAAGCACGAAACUUGCCCCGAGAUGAGUUCUCCCUGACUCCUUGAGAGUCCUGAAGGAACGUUGAAGACGACGACGUUGAUAGGCCGGGUGUGUAAGCGCAGCGAUGCGUUGAGCUAACCGGUACUAAUGAACCGUGAGGCUUAACCUUACAACGCCGAAG